CUGGUCGAACGAAAAGGCAGAUCGUACGUAUUUCUCAACGGCAAGGAACAACGACAUUAUAAUCGAUUUUGAUAAUACAUUAUUUAUAUUAUUUUUUUUAAAUAAUUACUUUCGAAUUAAUCUUCAAAAUUAAUUCCCAUAAAGGAGAGAAAAAGAAAAAGGAAAAAGAAAAA
Molecule: long non-coding RNA, 173 nt
Organism: Vespa crabro (European hornet)
Lineage: Eukaryota; Metazoa; Arthropoda; Insecta; Hymenoptera; Vespidae
Exons: 2
Source: RefSeq, a predicted model, not a curated record